RNAcentral lists this ribosomal RNA (115 nucleotides) under Pteropus alecto (black flying fox). The record is from RNAcentral. Lineage: Eukaryota; Metazoa; Chordata; Mammalia; Chiroptera; Pteropodidae.
GUCUACGGCCAUGCCACCCUGAACAAGCCCGAUGUCUGAUCUCGGAACUUAGCAGGGUUGGGCCUGGUUAGUACUUGAAUGAGAGACCACCUAGAAAGACCAGGUGCUAUAGGCA